Molecule: long non-coding RNA, 1000 nt
Filed under: Notechis scutatus (mainland tiger snake)
Lineage: Eukaryota; Metazoa; Chordata; Lepidosauria; Squamata; Elapidae
Description: lncRNA (ENSNSUG00000004617.1)
Source: RNAcentral
AAACUGCAGGAAACAAUGACUAAAAACCACAGUGAAACAAGAGCAGAUAUUAAUGAACCGAAGGAAGAGAUGGGGAAAUUAAAGGCAGAAAUGAAAGCGGACAUCUGUAAAUUAGAGGAUAAAGUGGGAGUAUUGCAGCAGGCCUUGGAGAAAAAUGAAGUUAUAAUAAAAGAGGUAGAGAAAAGAACUGAACCAACGGAAAGGGAAUUAGAAAGGGUGGAUGAAGAUCUAAAAAACGCGAGCAAAGAAAUGGAGGACUCAUUAGUCCUUCUAGAGAUGGACAAGGCAGCAACUUACUUAAGAUUUCAAAAUGUGGCGGAAUCAAAAGAAGAAGACCUGGAAUACUUGAUGGCAGAAAUACUGGCCGGUCUACUGAAGAAGGACAAAGAUGACAUUCAAAAAGAGUUUGAUGAAGUUUACCAGGUCAGUACAAAUUACGCAAGACGCCACAAAUGCUCUAGAGAAGUCCACAUACGAUUCACUAGAAGAUGUGUCCGAGAUAUGAUAUAUAGAACCUCUAGAGAUAAAACAAUAAUGUAUAAAGGUAAAGAAAUUGUGAUCCUUAAACAGAUACCGAGAAGAGUAAAGGAACAAAGGCGUGAUUAUAAGUUUCUGGCAGCUUAUUUAAACCAAAAAAGAAUUACAUUCAAAUGGCUUAUUCCAGAAGGGAUGCUAGUGUCGUGGAAAGAGAGGAAAAUUAAAAUAGACACUAUGGAAAAAGCUCAGGACUUUUAUGAACAGAUGGUGGGCCCGCAGGAGCAAAGUAGUAGGGAGGAAUUGGAAACAAAUUCUCAGGAAGAAUAUGGUGGACACAAAAAUAGAACCGAAACUGUAGGGAACCAAGAGAACACUCAUUUACAACAAAAGACAGAAGGAACCACACAAACACAAACACAAGGAGAGAUAGGAAUUGUUACACGACAAAGAGCAAAACAGAACUAAAUAAAUGGGAGAAGAAAAAAAAUUACUAUCAAUAAAUAUAAAUGGUUUAAAUUCGACA